RNAcentral lists this ribosomal RNA (460 nucleotides) under Pseudomonas sp. H12. Its description in RNAcentral is "bacterial SSU rRNA". It matches the Rfam family "Bacterial small subunit ribosomal RNA", at positions 26 to 473 of the family's 1533-position model. The record is from RNAcentral. Lineage: Bacteria; Pseudomonadati; Pseudomonadota; Gammaproteobacteria; Pseudomonadales; Pseudomonadaceae.
AACCCCGUCAGAUUGAACGCUGGCGGCAGGCCUAACACAUGCAAGUCGAGCGGUAGAGAGAAGCUUGCUUCUCUUGAGAGCGGCGGACGGGUGAGUAAUGCCUAGGAAUCUGCCUGGUAGUGGGGGAUAACGUUCGGAAACGGACGCUAAUACCGCAUACGUCCUACGGGAGAAAGCAGGGGACCUUCGGGCCUUGCGCUAUCAGAUGAGCCUAGGUCGGAUUAGCUAGUUGGUGGGGUAAUGGCUCACCAAGGCGACGAUCCGUAACUGGUCUGAGAGGAUGAUCAGUCACACUGGAACUGAGACACGGUCCAGACUCCUACGGGAGGCAGCAGUGGGGAAUAUUGGACAAUGGGCGAAAGCCUGAUCCAGCCAUGCCGCGUGUGUGAAGAAGGUCUUCGGAUUGUAAAGCACUUUAAGUUGGGAGGAAGGGCCAUUACCUAAUACGUGAUGGUUUGAC